Molecule: ribosomal RNA, 776 nt
Filed under: uncultured Neocallimastigales
Lineage: Eukaryota; Fungi; Neocallimastigomycota; Neocallimastigomycetes; Neocallimastigales
Description: partial large subunit ribosomal RNA
Rfam family: Eukaryotic large subunit ribosomal RNA
Source: RNAcentral
UAUGUGAUCGUCUCUCGCAUAUCAAUAAGCGGAGGAAAAGAAACUAACAAGGAUUCCCCUAGUAACGGCGAGUGAAGCGGGAAGAGCUCAAAUUUGAAAUCUUAAAGGGUUUCCCUUUACGAAUUGUAGUUUAAAGAAGUGUUUUCUGUUGAGGUUUUGGUAAAAGUUCUUUGGAAUAGGACAUCAUAGAGGGUGAGAAUCCCGUAUUUGACCUUUACUUUCAACUUUGUGAUACACUUUCAAAGAGUCGGAUUGUUUGGGAAUGCAGUCCAAAAUGGGUGGUAAAUUUCAUCUAAAGCUAAAUAUUGGCGAGAGACCGAUAGCGAACAAGUACCGUGAGGGAAAGGAUGAAAAGAACUUUGAAAAGAGAGUUAAACAGUACGUGAAAUUGUCAAAAGGGAAGCGUUUGACACCAGUGUUGUUUUUCUGAAAAUCAAUUAAAGAACUGUUUAUGCUAAGCUGUUUAGACUUUAUCAGCUAUCUGUUUAGUUUUGAGCUUUUCUUUAAUGCACUUUUCAGUUAACAAGUCAAUCAUCAAUUUCUUUUGCUGUAAAAAAGCUUGAGGAAGGUGGCUUGAGAUUCGUCUUAAGUGUUUAUAGCCUCUUGCCUAUGCAGUCGGAGAGAUUGAGGUCUGCAGCGUAGAUCCUUCGGGGCUAAAUGCAUUUGUGCUAAGUUAUAGCAUUUUAUAGACAACUUGUUGACUAUGAUUUGUCUUGUAGCUUACUCGCUUAUGUUAUUUUACCUACGCUUAGGAUGUUGAGCGCAUGUCUCUCUCU